Molecule: ribosomal RNA, 483 nt
Filed under: uncultured bacterium
Lineage: Bacteria
Description: partial 16S ribosomal RNA
Rfam family: Bacterial small subunit ribosomal RNA
Source: RNAcentral
GAUGAACGCUGGCGGCGUGCCUAAUACAUGCAAGUCGAGCGAACCACUUCGGUGGUGAGCGGCGAACGGGUGAGUAACACGUAGGUGAUCUGCCCAUCAGACGGGGACAACGAUUGGAAACGAUCGCUAAUACCGGAUAGGACGAAAGUUUAAAGGUGCUUCUGGCACCGCUGAUGGAUGAGCCUGCGGCGCAUUAGCUAGUUGGUAGGGUAAAGGCCUACCAAGGCGACGAUGCGUAGCCGACCUGAGAGGGUGAACGGCCACACUGGGACUGAGACACGGCCCAGACUCCUACGGGAGGCAGCAGUAGGGAAUCUUCGGAAAUGGGCGAAAGCCUGACCGAGCAACGCCGCGUGUGUGAUGAAGGGUUUCGGCUCGUAAAACACUGUUGUAAGAGAAGAAUGACAUUGAGAGUAACUGUUCAAUGUGUGACGGUAUCUUACCAGAAAGGAACGGCUAAAUACGUGCCAGCCGCCGCGGUAA